CGGGUAGGGACGAUGAUCAAUAUCUUUUCAUUAAAACUCUAAACUCUCUGCUGUGUUCCCCUGCUUUUGAUUCUUCUUCUUCUUCUUCUUCUUCUUCUUCUUCUUCUUCUUCUUCUUCUGCAUGUUGUUUGCAUAACCUUGUGGUAUUAAGUAUGAUGUUGGGAUAGGCUAUUUUCAUCCUUUAGUUUUGACACUUAAAUUUUCAGGCUGAGCAGCUUCUUAAAGAUGAGAAUAUAAUGGCAGUCUAUGAGAUACUGGAUCAUUUCUGUGAAUUUGUCAACAUUCAAUUAUCAUAUAUUCGCAGACACAAGUAUUUUUUUUCCCUCUUAACAACACUUUUCCUCUUUUAAUCACUUUUUUCAAGUUUCUGACCAUGAACUGAAUUAGUUGUCCUGUAAUUGUGGUAUUUUAGGGACUGCCCUAAUGAUAUCAAUGAAGCAGUUUCAAGCCUCAUAUUCGCCUCUGCCAGAUGUGCAGAUCUCCCUGAGCUUCCUGCGAUUCGUAAGCUCUUCGGGGAGCGUUACGGGCAUAGGUUCACGACAGUGGCCGUUGAAUUGCUUCCUGGGAAUCUGGUCAACCGUGAGGUUGCCCAUUCUAGUGCUAACUGCUGAUUUUUCUUGCUUGUGAUCAGUUUUUUUUUUAAUCAUCAAUUAACAUGAAGAAUUUUGAUAAAAUCUUGACUACAGAUACAAGAAAAACUAUCCCCAAAAUCAGUUUCGGAUGAUGUGAAGUACAGAUUGAUUGAUGAAAUAGCUCGAGAUUACUGCUUACAGCCUGAAAUUUUGGCACUUGAAUACUUUCCCGAAUUGCAACACCAGGUAACUAGAUUAUGUUCUUUCAAUUAUUGUCUUUUGGUCAGAUUUUGAUGUUUCAUUGAAGUCCUACAUUGGUGCAGACUUCAGAUGGUAGUGAGAAGGAAGGAAAAAACAUACAAGUUGAUCCAUUGGCAAAGACUGCCACUCAUUUGAUCAGCCAAUGUCACUCUUAUUCCUAUCCAAAUUCUGAUACCAUUGGUGCUUCCCUUACUUGUUCUCCACCAGAUGACAUAAAAGCAGAAAACCGGAACAUCAGCCGGAUUUGUACAACCACUAGGAAACGAAAGGAUGAUGAUGAAAGGAUAAAAGCACCAUCUUCCUCGGAAACUUUGCCUCAGUUUUGUGAGGAAGUAGUUGUCUAUCUUGAUGACAUAGAGGAGUUACGGUCUUCCCGGAGAAAAGAAGCAGAUUGUCAAGAUCAGAGACUUUUCAAGUUCAAGUCACUGAGCAUGCCAACUAAAGGAGUGGUUGUGGAUGGCACCGACGGUGAUGAUGAAAGUUAUACGGAUAAUGUAGAGGAUGAGAAACCAAGCUCAAAUGCAAACAAUUCAAGGCGGAGGUCCUUUUCUCUUGAACCUUCAAGCAUGAAGGAUAUUGAUCACGAGAUAUAUUAUGAGAACCACAAGCAGCAAUCUCAUCACUACAGGAAACACCAGAAGAAAACAGUAGCAGAAAGGAAAGAAGCAACUUAUCUGCUGAAGAGAUCGAAACAACCUGGCUGCACGGAAUUGAGGGGUUACAUUCAGGCUAAUACUUUGAACAGUGAAGUAAAAACCUGCAGCUUGGAAAACCCAUGUUACAAUUGUAGUUUUGAUGACAGUGAAGAAAAGGUCCCUCCAGUUUGUGAUAAAGGAGGAAUUUUGGAUGAAAAGUUUUGCCAUUGCCGAUGUUCUUCCAACGACGAUACUAGACGUAUUAGAAUGAAAGAGAGUAGUAGUCCUACUCGGAAUCUGAGGAGAAGAAGCUACGACAAUGGUGCAAGUGUGUAUGGAGUUUUCACCUUGCCCAAAUUGGAAAAGGAAGAAAGCAUAGGGAAAGUGAAGGGAAAUGUUGGUGAUUCCCAUACGAGAAAAGGAACAGGUGGUCCUUAUUUGAGGGCCACGACAAUGCCACAAGAAAGGCCAAGAGAGAUUCACAGGUACAGCAUUCUUCGAACCAAUUCAAUGUCGAUUCACAACCCUAAUCACGUUCACCCUAAGCUGCCAGAGUAUGAAGACAUAGCAGCCAAAUUUAUGGCUCUCAAGAAGGAGCAUCUGCUACAUAAGCAGUGAUGAAGUAACCAACUGUUUAUUUUUCUUUCGCAUUGAAAGAUUCUCUAGUAUUCUUUUUGUUCUCCUGUCAUAUCAUAUGUUGAUGAUGAUGAUAUGGAGAGUUACUGUUUCAAUUAAAUCCAGGACAUGGUAAUUUGUUGUUAGAGCAGGGGGCAAUUGCUGAGAAUGAAGAAGCCUUAUAAUUUGUUAAAAUAAUAUGUUACGCCCAUGCAUACAAAGCAGCAGCAGAUUUACGUGAAUAUCAUUUAACAUUAUUUAUGAUUAUCUCUCAAUUGAAAUUAUGUAAAGACAAACUUAUUGACGAGGAUAUAUUUGAGAAAACAUGAUUACCUUUGCAUGCCUAAAAUAUGCUCUUGAAAUAGCAUUAUGAAAAGUGUAUGUUCAUAAAAUAUUCUUAAUUAAUUCCUUAUUAAUUGAUGUUUCCACGGUUAUUUUGUUUAUUUGGAUUCUUUGGUUUUGGUAAUAAGAAAAUAAGGAGAUUGAAGUAUGAUGAUGAUCAAACUUAUGUGGUAUCGAGUGAGUGGUUUGAGUGAUGAUGAGUUUGGUACUUGAUAGCCUAAGGUGAUAGGUAAAAGUAUUCAUGAGCUGAUUUGAUUUACCAUCCACAAAUAUAUAAAUAAAUUUUUAUUUUUAUAUAUUUUUAUAAUUAAAUUUAAAUAAAAAUAAUUUUAUUAUUUAUAAAAUAGCAAAACAAAUCAUUUCAGCUAGCCAAGUCUAGUCAGGCUCGAGCGGAAUUUUUUUGAAAUUGGGCUAAUUCUCGGCCUGAACAAUGAACACCUCUAGUAUACGAGAGAAAACAAAAAGGUUUAGUAAUUUUAUUUUUAUAAUAUUUGAAUAAUUUAAAUAAAUUAUGUAUUUUUCUAUACAAUUAAAAUUUUCUAUAUUUUCUAUAUUUUUUUAUAAUUUUUAAUAAUUUAUAGAUUUUUAAUAAUUUUUUAUGAUUUUUAUAAUCUAUACUUUUUUUAAAAAAUAGAAUUUUUUAGACUUUUUUUUUACUUAAAUAGUCAAUUAAAUUCUCAUAAAAUAAUAUUAAAAAAAUCAAUUAAGCCUUACACCUUAUCAUUUUUUCAUGUCAAUUGCUAAAUCAGUACUUAAUGGCCCAUCAGGGGCUUCAAUGGAGAAAAUGACGUCAAUGGGCUUAAUUAUGUAUUCAAAACCAUUAUUCAAAUGGCUCAAUUGGAUGCACUUUUAGAUGAGAGACUUAAUUGAUUUUUAAAUUAUUUUUAGAGAACUUAUUUGACAUUUUAACUUGGAUCUUGUAAUGUGUAAAUUUUUAUUUAUUAUAAAAGAUAAAAAUAUUCUCAUAAUAAUAUAAUUUAUUUUAGAAAAAAAAUUUUUUAAUAAUUUCUUAAAUGAGUUGAGAUGAGCGAUACAAACUCAAUUUAAAUAAAUUAUUAUAACAAAGAUAUACAUUUCUUUAUCUUAUUGGUGGCACACCAAAGGUAUAGUUAGACCAUAUAGAAUUUGCCAAGCACACUAAAAUAUGUUGAAAUGAAGGUGUUAAAGUUAAAUGGACCAUAGGAGGUUGGUUUAUAAUGAUGUGCCAUCAAACAGACAUUUUGUCAACCCAUUGAGGGGUUGACUUACCUGUUCUUAAAAAAUAGAUUUUUUAAAACCUACCAACAUUCCAACAUUAGCAAAGUUGACUUCACCUACACCCCACGUGACCAUAUAUAUUGAAAGUCGAAACGAAAAGAGGCAAAAGAGGCCUAUCAUUAGCCAAGCCCUCUCUUAUAUCAACUAAACUGGUGCCAACAUUAUAUAUAACGUUUACACCAUAUUUAAUUAUUUUGUUCUAAGUCAUUUUUAUCUAAACUUUUCAGGUCAUACAUGUUGUCGAAACUUUUUUUAUCGGUCGACUUUUUAUCUAAAAAAUGAAAAUGGCGCAACUUUGACUUCUUAUUAAUAAAAAAAUUAUUAAAGUAACCCUAGCCAAGAAUGCUUUGCUUAGUAUCCUAGAGAGAACAAUUUUUUCUGUGGCUUAGGAUGGAGGAGAGUGGUGGCGCAGAGGGUUUUGAAGGAGACAAGAUCUCCCUAUUGGUAGAGGAACUUGUCCAAUUAUCAGUAAAAAGCUCGGUGUGGUACCAAGCGAAAAACCAACCCUAUUAUGCACAAUAUGGACGAAGAAAUCUUAUAAUCCAGAUAGCUUCAGGGCACAAAUCAAAAGUAUUUGGAAGACAAGGAAGAAAUUCGAGAUUAAAUUGGCAGGACAAAAUCUUUUUUUGAUAAUGUUUAAGAGUGAAGAAGAUCUAGAAUUAGUUAUGGCGGGGCAACCAUAGCUGUUUCGGAAAAAUUUAGUAAUUUUUGAUAGGUUGACUAGAUCGAUGGAAAGAAGUCAAAUCUGACUUAAUUGAUCACUGUUUUGGAUUAAGAUUGGACCAUGUUCACCAGAAUUUGAUAAAAAAAGAUCUGAUGCAUGCUAUUGGCGUUACUUUUGGAGGUGUUUUGAGAUCUGAAAUUAAUGGAGAAUUCUGUCGGCUAAGAAUCAAAUUAGAUGUGCAAAAACCCUUGCGAAGGGGUAUUUUUGUCUCAACAGAAAAUCAAAGUAAGUCUUGGAUUUCUUUUAAAAUAUGAAAAUUUACCUACAUUCUGUUUUGGUUGUGGAAAGACGGGGCAUGGGCUCAUAGACUACCAAGAGUUUACACCUGUAGAAAGAAACAAAGUCAGAAUUGAUCCUCCUUUUUCUUUAGCUUUAAAAGCAGAAUUAAAUUUAGUUGGAAGAGAGAGUCUAAUGUUUAAAGCCAACUCAAAGAAGAUGCAGCCUCAAUGUUCAUACGUAGGUAAUACUGAGAAUUUUACUGAAUUAAAUCUAGAAGUUGAUGGAAAAAGUGUUAUAUCCCAAGCUAAUUCACAAUGUACAGAAAAAGAGAUAGCGUUAAAGCUGUAGGAGGAUAAAAUGGAUAUAGAAGAUAAGGCUAUCGGGGCAUCUAAUAAUUCUACAAGAACUUUGAAUCCAGCCAAAAAAUUGAGUUGGAAGUGAAUCAAGGUAGAAAGAAGGGUGGAUUCUUACAACGAUGAAAGUAGACUAAGAAAAAGAAAAUCAGAAGAGUGUGCUUUUGAAAAAGAUGAUUCAAAAAUCUCUUGUGAAGAUGAAACAAAGAGAAUGAAGUACAAGGGCAAAUAAUUUCAAACAGGAGAAUAUACAAUUUUGUCGGCUGAAUAUUUCCCACAGGAAUAUGAUUUUCACCAAUAUAGAUCGGCGGGUGCCAAAAGGCAUACUGACCGGGCACAAUGAAAACUAUAUGUUGAAAUGUCCGUGGAUUGGGGAGUCUACAAGCAACACGAAGGCUUUGGUAUUUGCUGAAGCAAGAUAAGCCCCAAAUGGUCUUCUUUAUGGAGACUAAAAUUGAUGAAAAGCGCAUGGAAAAAAUUAGAAGGAGAUGUGGUUUCGAGAAUGGAACUAAUGUAGGAACAGAAGGGUCUAGAGGUGGAAUUUGUAUGGCGUGGAAAACAGGAACUAAUGUAACUCUUAAAAAUUUCUCAAGAAGCCAUAUUGAUGUAAUGGUAAAGGAGGAAAAUAUCAAUGAAGAGUGACGGUUUACAGGAUUUUAUGGAUCACCUUAUGUUCAUGAUAAGAAUGCCUCGUGGAAUUUAUUAAAGCAAUUGGGUAAAGAUCAAAAUCACCCAUGACUGGUAUGUGGUGAUUUUAACGAAAUAAUGUAUUCUUAUGAGAAAAACAAUGGUCUAUCGGGGGAAGAAAAAAGAAUGGAAGCUUUUCGCGAAGUUCUAAAUGAAUGUCAGUUAAUGGACGUGGGUUACAUGGGGGUUUGGUUCAUAUGGGAGAGAGGAAACUUACCGGGAACAAAUAUUAAAGAAAGGCUGGAUAGAGGCAUGACGAAUGAGAAGUGGAUGCAACUUUUUCCAAGUGGAACUAUUCAUCAUUUUACACACUCAAUUUCAGAUCAUUGCCCCUUACUUAUAAAUACUAAUAAGGGAAAAAUCAAUAAAGGAAUCUCAAGUUUCAAAUUCGAGGCAUGGUGGACUUUGGAGGAAUCCAUUGAACAAGAGAUUAAAAAAGCGUGGGAGUUUUCAGAUGGAUCUAUAUGCGAAAAACGAGAGGCUACAAUUCAGAUUGGUGAAUUGGGCGAGCGUAAUAAAGAGGGACUGAGAUGGUUUAAAGAAUAGGCUCACAAAGGAACUUGAAGAACUACUUGAAAGCGAUAGAGAUGAUGCCACAAUGGCAAAGCUGAUUGAUAUUAGAAUUCGACUCAAAAUGGAAAUUGAAAAAGACGAAAUGUACUGGGAACAAAGGGCACGAGCUAAUUGGCUCCAAUUAGAGGAUAAGAACUCAGUAUUUUUUCACAAGUAUGCCUUAGUACGUAAACGAAUUAAUACUAUUACUACGCUGGAAGCUGAUGGAGGUCAUGAAAUUACUGAUGAGUCAGCAAUUAAUGAGGCUAUUCAAAUUAUUUUCAAAAUUUAUUCACAUCGAAGUGAGUAGGGAAUUUAUCCCAUCUGCUAGAGGGUGUUAAGACUAAUAUUUCAUCCGACAUAAAUGAAGAUUUGCUAGUACCAUUUAAAGUAGAAGAGGUUUUUUCAGCUUUGAAAGGAAUGGGGCCUACUAAAGCGCCAAGUUGUGAUGGUUUUCCAGCAUUAUUUUUUCAGAGAUUCUGGCAUAUUGUAGGUAAGAAUGUUGAGAAAUUUUGCUUGGGAAUUCUGAAUGAUGGAAAAAUUUUUGAUUCUCUAAAUCUUACUGAUAUUGUACUUAUUCCAAAACUACCAAAACCCACAAGUCUAGCUAAUUUCAGACCCAUCUGCCUAUGCACAGUUUUACACAAAAUUGUGGCAAAAACAAUUGCAAAUCGGUUUCAGGAGGUCAUUAGAAGAAGUAUAAGGCCCAAAGUACUUUUGUUCUAGGAAGAUUAAUUACUGAUAACGUGCUAGUAGCUUACGAAAUCUUACACACGUUACGACAGAAACGAAUCGAAAAAAAAAGGGCUUAUGGUAGUUAAAUAAGAUAUGAGCAAAGCCUAUGAUAGAGUCGAAUGGUUUUUUUUUAAAGGAAGUUAUACUGAGAAUGGGUUAUGCAAAGGAAUGGGUGUCAUUGAUUAUGAAAUGCAUAUCCACAGUAUCUUACACAGUCAACAUUAAUGAAAGAAGAUGAAGGGUUUUUAAACCCACUUGAGAGCUCCGUCAGGGUGAUCCACUUAGUCAUUUUCUCUUUCUAAUAUGCAGUGAGGGACUCUCGUCUUUCAUAAGAAUAGCGACAACUGACGGUCUACUUAAAGGAGUAAGAGCAAGUCGAAGAGGGCCAGCGAUUUCCUAUCUACUGUUCGCAGACGAUUGUAUUUUGUUUGGCCAAGCGACAAAUAGAGGAGCAAGAAUAUUAAAAGGAAUUUUGGAAGAAUAUGAACAGUGCUCAGGACAAUGCGUGAAUUUUAACAAGUCAACGAUUUUCUACAGCUCAAAACAACAAAAAGGGACAAAGAAGAGGUAUCAAUAAUAUUAAGGGUAAGAUGCUCCACAAAUUUGGAAAAAUAUCUUGGCCUCCCUAAUGUGGUAGGCAGAAGGAAAAAUGAAGCUUUCCAGAAUCUAAAGGAUAAACUUAAUUCAAAGAUUGAUAGUUGGAGCACAAGACUACUGUCAUAAGGGGGUAAGGAGGUUUUUAUCAAGUCAGUGCUUCAAGCAAUUCCAGCUUAUGCUAUGUCAUGUUUUCUCCUACCAAAAUCUUUUUAUGGGGAGCUGGAAAAUAUUUUCGCUAAAUUCUGGUGACAAAAAGGGCAGGGAAGAAAAGGAAUACCCUGGUGUCAAUGGAGAUAUAUGUGCUGAUCAAAAGAAGAAGGGGGUACGGGUUUUAGAAAUCUGUUGCAAUUUAAUAUCUCACUACUAGCAAAGCAAGGAUGGAGGAUCAUAAUAAUCAGGAUUCGUUGGUUACGCAAGUUUUUAAAAUAAAAUAUUUUCCCAAUGAGUAUUUUUUAAAUUCUUGAUUUGGAAAAACUAGCUCUUAUAUUUGGAAAAGCAUAUGGGCAGCAAGAGGUAUUUUAGAAAAAGGUAUAUGCUGGAGGGUUGGCACAGGUUCAAACAUUUCUAUUAAUGAUGAUGCGUGGAUUCCAGAUACUGUUAAUUUUAGAUUAUCUUCAGUUGUUAAUACUAUGCGAGAUGCAAAGGUUAGUGAGCUGAUAAAUAGGAAUGCGAGAAUAUAGGAUAGAGAACUCAUCAAUAAUACCUUUUCAACGACCGAUGCUGGGAAAAUCCUCCAGAUACCUUUAGCACGCACACCUCAUGAAGAUCUGCUUGUAUGGGGAGGUGAACAUUCAGGGGAAUUCUCGGUACACAGCGCCUAUAAACUAUUACAAAAAUCUAAUGAAAUUCCAAGAGCUUAUCCUUUACAAACCAACUACGGGAACUUUUAUAAGAAAUUAUGGCGCCUAAAUCUACCGACUAAAAUAAAGAUUAUAGUAUGGAGAAUUUUUUGGAACUAUUUUCCUAAGAAGGUUAAUAUGCAACACUGGAAACUUGUUAGUUCAAACUAUCCCUGAAGUGGAAAAAGAAAUGAAACAAUCGAUCAUAUCUUCCGAGAAUGUCUUGUCACAGUGGAAGUUUGGGCACUAUGAAAACUUCAAAAUAUUCUUAUGAAUCCAAACAUGGAUUUUUUUAUAGUGGAUUACCUGAGACUUUGGAUAGUUCACUACAUGCUAGAAUAUACUUUUCUACUGUAGUCUCUGGGCUAUCUAGGGCGAAAGAAAUAAAAGAAAAAUGAGCAAAGAAUUAGUACAGGUCAAGAAAUAAUGAACUUCAUCAAUAAUUAUCUUGCUGAACUUAAUGGUCUUGAUAAGAUGAAGUCAAAAAGAGAGAAGAAAAAUAAAAGAUGGACCCAUCCACCUAAUGAGUUCGUCAAAAUUAAUUUUGAUGGUGCCUAUGAUUUGACUCAUGAAUAAUCUGCCUCAGGAAUAGUAACCAGAAAUAAAGAAGGAGCUGUUUUACUCACUUGCUCAGAGGUUCACCACGAAGCAACUUCUGCCUUUACAGCUGAAGCAAUCGCGUGUAGAAAAGCGGUCCAAAUAGCAGUCGAACAGGAAUGGCCGAAAAUUAUUAUAGAAGGUGAUUCCCUCACAAUAAUAAAGAAAUGUUUAUCAAAGAGUCAAGAUCGAUCAUGUAUUGAAGCAUAUAUAUAUAUGAUAUUAAGCAGAAACUAAAUAGAUCUAGGGGUUCAAUGUUAAAACACACACCAAGAUUGGCAAAUGCUCUCGCGCAUAUAGUGGCAACAGAGUUGCUGAAAAGGAAAUAAGAACUGUACCUGGUAAUGGAAGUCCCAGAAUAUGCUAAAGAACAAAGACAGAUCGACCGAAGAAGGGAACUAGAUUGAGGAGAGAAUGAAGAAGAAAAGAAUAAGAGGAAAGAAAAAGAAAGAAGAUGCAUCAGUUUGAAAAGAACAUCUUUCCAUAAAAAUUGAACCGUCAAAAGCAAAGAAAAGAAAUGAAGUCUCCAGAUGAAUAGACAGGGUUCAGAAGUUCUGUUUGGGCAUUAAUUAGGCGUAAUAAUUAUGAAUCUCUAGACUGUUUCGAUUAAAAUAUCUAGAUUUUCUUAGCUUUUUGGGCUCCUUUGUAUUGGGUCGUUUUAGUAGAUUAGCUUUGCUUAGCUGUUUUCACUGUUAGGUUUUGUAAUUCAUUUUCCAAUAAUAAGCCCAGUCUGAAAGUUUC
Molecule: long non-coding RNA, 9726 nt
Filed under: Gossypium barbadense (sea-island cotton)
Lineage: Eukaryota; Viridiplantae; Streptophyta; Magnoliopsida; Malvales; Malvaceae
Description: long non-coding RNA (GBAR_LNC011712)
Source: RNAcentral